CCCCUAGAUGUUCUGGGCCGCACGCGCGCUACACUGAACAGUUCAACAAGUCUUAACCUUGGCCGAUAGGUCUGGGUAAUCUUUGAACGCUGUUCGUGAUUGGGAUAGACCUUUGCAAUUAUGGGUCUUCAACGAGGAAUUCCUAGUAAACGCAAGUCAUCAGCUUGCAUUGAUUACGUCCCUGCCCUUUGCACACACCGCCCGUCGCACCUACCGAUUGAAUGGUCCGGUGAAAUCUCGGGACGGCGGCUUGGUCGCUUGCGUCCGACUGCUGAAACUUGAUUAAACCAUNUNAUUUAGNGGAAGGUGAANUCGUANCA
RNAcentral lists this ribosomal RNA (320 nucleotides) under uncultured eukaryote. Its description in RNAcentral is "partial 18S ribosomal RNA". It matches the Rfam family "Eukaryotic small subunit ribosomal RNA", at positions 1470 to 1796 of the family's 1831-position model. The record is from RNAcentral.